UACAUUUAGUUGUUUUUGCAUUUAAAUUUUUGGGGUUUAAGGUGAUAAUUGAUUUUAUUAAAUGUAA
Molecule: transfer RNA, 67 nt
Filed under: Encyrtus rhodococcusiae
Lineage: Eukaryota; Metazoa; Arthropoda; Insecta; Hymenoptera; Encyrtidae
Description: tRNA-Gln
Source: RNAcentral